This 468-nucleotide ribosomal RNA is filed under the name uncultured bacterium. RNAcentral's name for it is "partial 16S ribosomal RNA". It matches the Rfam family "Bacterial small subunit ribosomal RNA", at positions 28 to 507 of the family's 1533-position model. The record is from RNAcentral.
GACGAACGCUGGCGGCGUGCUUAACACAUGCAAGUCGAACGGAAAGGCCCUGCUUUUGUGGGGUGCUCGAGUGGCGAACGGGUGAGUAACACGUGAGUAACCUGCCCUUGACUUUGGGAUAACUUCAGGAAACUGGGGCUAAUACCGGAUAGGAGCUCCUGCUGCAUGGUGUGGGUUGGAAAGUUUCGGCGGUUGGGGAUGGACUCGCGGCUUAUCAGCUUGUUGGUGGGGUAGUGGCUUACCAAGGCUUUGACGGGUAGCCGGCCUGAGAGGGUGACCGGCCACAGUGGGACUGAGAUACGGCCCAGAAUCCUACGGGAGGCAGCAGUGGGGAAUAUUGAACAAUGGGCGGAAGCCUGAUGCAGAAACGCCGCGUGCGGGAUGACGGCCUUAGGGGUGUAAACCGCUUUCGCAUGUGACGAAGCGUGAGUGACGGUAAUGGGUAAAGAAGCACCGGCUAACUACGUG